This 983-nucleotide long non-coding RNA is filed under the name Helianthus annuus (common sunflower). RNAcentral's name for it is "hypothetical non coding rna". The record is from RNAcentral. Lineage: Eukaryota; Viridiplantae; Streptophyta; Magnoliopsida; Asterales; Asteraceae.
UUUCAUUUUAGAGCUAAGCCAGUGUGGCUCAAUUUCUCAUUGAUCAGUUUGUCAAUCUUUUCCUUCAUCUCAUCCGUAAAGUGGUUCUCCCAAUCUCCAACCUUACCCUUCCUGAAGUAGAGUCGGUUUUCAGACACAAUAGCCCUAGCGCGUUCUCCAUUUUGAAUACCACUUUUGUUUACUUCUAACUUGCUCAAAUUCUCAAAACUACACAUUUUUAUAAUUCUUUCUAUCACACCUUCUUUCUCUUCUUGGGUUGUAAAGGGAUACCCAAUGAACUCUGCAAGUCUCUUCACGUUGCUUGUAGGAUCCUUUAUCAUAUCUUCAUAUUUCAACAAAAGAGUUAUCUCGGGUCUCUCUAGGCUUGCUUUCGCAAAUCCUGAGAGAUGAUCCCAAAUUGGUCCAAAGACAUUAAUGCCCUGACAAAACUCGUCAAAUGCCUCCUCAAAUGGGGCAUCUUCUAUGGUUUGAAGCUCGGAUUGAUUCUGGCAAUAAGUUGUAAGGAAUGUGUGUGGCUAUGGGUGUGAUACAUGAGUUGUCGAUGUGGCGGUUUUCAAGGAUUUGCUCAAUAUUUUUCUCAAGGGAGGGAAUGCAGUUAUGAGGGAUGUUUGUGAGCAAAGGUGUGUUGGAUUCGUCAAACUUUUGUCGGGUUACGAUGGCAAAAGCAAUGGCCUUUAGCCAUGUCGUGCCACUUUUGGGAUGACUGCAUAGAAACACAUCACUUGGUUGAGCCUUGAAGAUAUGUUGUGCUGAAAUUAUUCCUUCGAGGAGCUUUGGAUGGCACCAUAUGCCUUGAUAGUUGUACAUGAUUUCCCUGCCUUUCACCCAACUAUGAGUGUAUUGAGGAAAUGUUUUGAUCAUCUCUUCAAUGUCUUUAGCAGACAUAACUUUGGUCUCCAUGGAUGAUUGCUAUUUUAAUUCCACGCCAAAAGAAUGGAAGCUUGGAGAAGAAGAUUAAGAAGAUCGAGAGCGGUUCUGCAUAA